RNAcentral lists this ribosomal RNA (468 nucleotides) under uncultured bacterium. RNAcentral describes it as "partial 16S ribosomal RNA". It matches the Rfam family "Bacterial small subunit ribosomal RNA", at positions 28 to 507 of the family's 1533-position model. The record is from RNAcentral.
GACGAACGCUGGCGGCGUGCUUAACACAUGCAAGUCGAACGGAAAGGCCCUGCUUUUGUGGGGUGCUCGAGUGGCGAACGGGUGAGUAACACGUGAGUAACCUGCCCUUGACUUUGGGAUAACUUCAGGAAACUGGGGCUAAUACCGGAUAGGAGCUCCUGCUGCAUGGUGGGGGUUGGAAAGUUUCGGCGGUUGGGGAUGGACUCGCGGCUUAUCAGCUUGUUGGUGGGGUAGUGGCUUACCAAGGCUUUGACGGGUAGCCGGCCUGAGAGGGUGACCGGCAACAUUGGGACUGAGAUACGGCCCAGACUCCUACGGGAGGAAGCAGUGGGGAAUAUUGCACAAUGGGCGGAAGCCUGAUGCAGCAACGCCGCGUGCGGGAUGACGGCCUUCGGGUUGUAAACCGCUUUCGCCUGUGACGAAGCGUGAGUGACGGUAAUGGGUAAAGAAGCACCGGCUAACUACGUG